RNAcentral lists this transfer RNA (73 nucleotides) under Candidatus Bathyarchaeota archaeon. RNAcentral's name for it is "tRNA-Pro". The record is from RNAcentral. Lineage: Archaea; Thermoproteati; Candidatus Bathyarchaeota.
GGCGAAGCCGGCUAACUUGGUAGGCUCCGCGGCUCGGGCCCGCGUGAUUCCGGUUCGAAUCCGGAUACCCCCA